Molecule: ribosomal RNA, 393 nt
Filed under: uncultured bacterium
Lineage: Bacteria
Description: partial 16S ribosomal RNA
Rfam family: Bacterial small subunit ribosomal RNA
Source: RNAcentral
AUACGGAGGAUCCGAGCGUUAUCCGGAUUUAUUGGGUUUAAAGGGAGCGUAGGUGGACAGUUAAGUCAGUUGUGAAAGUUUGCGGCUCAACCGUAAAAUUGCAGUUGAUACUGGCUGUCUUGAGUACAGUAGAGGUGGGCGGAAUUUGUGGUGUAGGGGUGGAAUGCUUAGAUAUCACGAAGAACUCCGAUUGCGAAGGCAGCUCACUGGACUGCAACUGACACUGAUGCUCGAAAGUGUGGGUAUCAAACAGGAUUAGAUACCCUGGUAGUCCACACAGUAAACGAUGAAUACUCGCUGUUUGCGAUAUACAGUAAGCGGCCAAGCGAAAGCAUUAAGUAUUCCACCUGGGGAGUACGCCGGCAACGGUGAAACUCAAAUGAAUUGACGGGG